This 500-nucleotide ribosomal RNA is filed under the name uncultured bacterium. RNAcentral's name for it is "partial 16S ribosomal RNA". It matches the Rfam family "Bacterial small subunit ribosomal RNA", at positions 30 to 523 of the family's 1533-position model. The record is from RNAcentral.
AUUGAACGCUGGCGGAAUGCUUUACACAUGCAAGUCGAACGGCAGCACGGACUUCGGUCUGGUGGCGAGUGGCGAACGGGUGAGUAAUACAUCGGAACGUGCCCAGUCGUGGGGGAUAACGUAGCGAAAGCUACGCUAAUACCGCAUACGAUCUAAGGAUGAGAGCGGGGGAUCGCAAGACCUCGCGCGAUUGGAGCGGCCGAUGGCAGAUUAGGUAGUUGGUAGGGUAAAGGCCUACCAAGCCGACGAUCUGUAGCUGGUCUGAGAGGAUGAUCAGCCAAACUGGGAAUGGGACACGGCCCAGACUCCUACGGGAGGCAGGAGUGGGGAAUUUUGGACAAUGGGCGCAAGCCUGAUCCAGCCAUUCCGCGUGCAGGAUGAAGGCCUUCGGGUUGUAAACUGCUUUUGUACAGAACGAAAAGGCUCUGGUUAAUACCCGGGGCUCAUGACGGUACUGUAAGAAUAAGCACCGGCUAACUACGUGCCAGCCGCCGCGGUAA